UGAAAAUUAAGGAAACUUGCCAUCAAGGAAUAAGUACCAAAUGAUUUUAUUAAUUUGUAAAUGGCUCCUCAUUAGGAGGAUUAAAUACAACCUUCUUGUUAAAGUAAUCUAUGUUGGUGUGAUAUGCCGUUAGCCAAUCCAUCCCUAAAAUUACAUCAAAAUCCCUCGUGUCUAACCCUAUUAGGUCUACACUCAGUUUUCUAUUUGCUAUCUCCACGGCACAAGCCCUGUAGACAACUUCCCCUAAUAGUGUUUCACCCCCAACAGUAGACACAAAUAACAUUGAAUCAAGUUUAUCAGGUGAUACAUUAAGUUUGGAUGCAAAAACAUGUGAAACGAAUGAAUGCAAUACAUCACUGUCAAAUAAAAC
RNAcentral lists this long non-coding RNA (370 nucleotides) under Carica papaya (papaya). RNAcentral's name for it is "long non-coding RNA (CPAP_LNC013007)". Lineage: Eukaryota; Viridiplantae; Streptophyta; Magnoliopsida; Brassicales; Caricaceae. The record is from RNAcentral.